RNAcentral lists this ribosomal RNA (692 nucleotides) under Sirenophila bermaguiana. RNAcentral describes it as "mitochondrial SSU rRNA". It matches the Rfam family "Bacterial small subunit ribosomal RNA", at positions 362 to 1147 of the family's 1533-position model. Lineage: Eukaryota; Fungi; Ascomycota; Lecanoromycetes; Teloschistales; Teloschistaceae. The record is from RNAcentral.
UGUAUAGCAAUAGCUAAUUGCACUAGGUAUUUCUAGUGUAGAAUCGACUAUGUUGAAUAAAAUUCUGGGUAGGCUUUUGAUAAUGACAUUAUCUGCCCAUAAGUCUUGACCAAAUUACGUGCCAGCAGUCGCGGUAAUACGUAGAAGACAAGUGUUAUUCAUCCUUAAUAGGUUUAAAGGGUACCUAGACGGGAAAUAAAGCCUCAAAAAGGGACUAAUUUUCUAGAGUUUUAUGUGAAGAAGUAUUGAAGUACUAGAGGUGCAGAGAUGAAAUUCAGUCAUACUUGAUGGCACAGGUUAAGGCGAAGGCAUCUUCUUAUGUAAAAACUGACGUUGAGGGACGAAGGCUUUGUGUCUCGAACAGGAUUAGAUACCCUAGUAGUCUAAGCAGAAAAUGAUGAAUGUCAUAGAUUAGAUGUAAUUUGAUCUAUAAAUGAAAGUGUAAGCAUUCCACCUCAAGAGUAAUUUGGCAACAUUGGAACUGAAAUCAUUAGACCGUUUCUGAAACCAGUAGUGAAGUAUGUUGUUUAAUUUGAUAAUCCGCAAAAAACCUUACCACAAUUUGAAUAGAUAUAUAUAUCAUACAAGCGUUGCACGGCUGUCUUCAGUUAAUGUCGUGAGACUAUGGUUAGUUCCAUUAAUUAACGUAAACCCUUAUUUUAUUUUAAGAUAAAGUAGUUCACCGCUAGAUU